Molecule: ribosomal RNA, 467 nt
Filed under: uncultured bacterium
Lineage: Bacteria
Description: partial 16S ribosomal RNA
Rfam family: Bacterial small subunit ribosomal RNA
Source: RNAcentral
ACGAACGCUGGCGGCGUGCUUCACACAUGCAAGUCGAACGGAAAGGCCCUGCUUUUGUGGGGUGCUCGAGUGGCGAACGGGUGAGUAACACGUGAGUAACCUGCCCUUGACUUUGGGAUAACUUCAGGAAACUGGGGCUAAUACCGGAUAGGAGCUCCUGCUGCAUGGUGGGGGUUGGAAAGUUUCGGCGGUUGGGGAUGGACUCGCGGCUUAUCAGCUUGUUGGUGGGGUAGUGGCUUACCAAGGCUUUGACGGGUAGCCGGCCUGAGAGGGUGACCGGCCACAUUGGGACUGAGAUACGGCCCAGACUCCUACGGGAGGCAGCAGUGGGAAAUAUUGCACAAUGGGCGGAAGCCUGAUGCAGCAACGCCGCGUGCGGGAUGACGGCCUUCGGGUUGUAAACCGCUUUCGCCUGUGACGAAGUGUGAGUGACGGUAAUGGGUAAAGAAGCACCGGCUAACUACGUG